UGCUAACACACACAGAGAAUCCCGCACGCACACGCGUUCCGGGAAAGGGGAGGAUUUGCUGAGCCCGAAGGAUUUCACACUAGAGUUAGCGGUAUGAGCAAUCAUCACCAAGAUCUCAAAGACAACUGAGAUUUCAGGAGAACGGAAAAGGAGAAACACAGCACAUAGAAUUCAAAAGGGGGGAAUAGGUAGAGCCAAGAGCUGUCAAUCAUUCCAGCCUCUACUCCCAGAAAAGUAAUGAAGCAAAUAAUCACACAUCUUUAAGUACAUGGUAGCUAAUGAACUGGUAAGUCACAGCCAACAUGUAUUUGUCAAGAAAAGCAUAUCAAGCCACACUCAUCCUGUUACACUGUGACAGUGUAACGAGCCUUGGAUGGAAGUAGCAGUGUUAUGUGUUGUGACUUGACUUAGGUAAGGCUUUUGACACCAUCUCAGAGAACUCUUAAUUGAGCAAGCAAAUGAAAUAGCAUAAUGAAAUGACUGCAAAACUACAUCAGCCGUGCUUCAUUGUGAUGAACAAUAGGAUACAGCAAAUACAGUUCCUUGUAAGUGGGUAUGUCUGGAGUUUGGUACCAAGUCUAAUAGUGUGAAUGACAGAGUACAGUUUACAUUGAAGGGAUCUGCCAGGAAUUCCAGACCGGCAGAGCUGGAAGCAUGUGACAAGACAAGAAAAGAAUUCAAAAUGCUCCUGACAAACUGGUUGCAGAAACAGGAUGUAAUGGAAUAACUACAAGUGCCAACUUCAACAUUUAAGCAGGAAAGUAAGAACUGCACAAUGGCAAGACUUUGAACAGACAAACACUGGGUCUUCAGAAAAGGGGAUGGGAAUCAGAGAACGUAACAAACUGAAUAUGCAUCAACAAUGUCACACCAUUGUGGGAAAAAGCUGCAGUACAGGAGAGAUGUGUAAACAGCUGUUAUAUCUAGGCCAUACGGAGAAGUUCUUCUCUUACUUAAUACUGGCACCAGGAUGAAAACACCCACGUUUGUUGCUUAGUCCUGCUCUCCUUGGCCAGGCCUGCGCCAGCAGUUACAACACAGCUUCUGUCAGAAGAAAGCAGCUUCUUACCCAGCCUCCCACAGUUGUCCCCUGUUUGCGGUCUCACCACUAAGGAGUGUUAUUGUCAUCUGCCAUGGAAGCAGAGAGAGGCAGCUGUUGGGGUAGCACUAUCUGCCUGGCACAUGAGUCUCCAUUCUUAGCUGCUCCUCAGGUAACCACCAUAAUAAAUGUUAUCAAUUAACAAAUACUGGAUUGAUUGUCAGUAGUAAUUAAUUAA
Molecule: long non-coding RNA, 1277 nt
Organism: Melopsittacus undulatus (budgerigar)
Lineage: Eukaryota; Metazoa; Chordata; Aves; Psittaciformes; Psittaculidae
Exons: 3
Source: RefSeq, a predicted model, not a curated record